Molecule: ribosomal RNA, 378 nt
Filed under: uncultured bacterium
Lineage: Bacteria
Description: bacterial SSU rRNA
Rfam family: Bacterial small subunit ribosomal RNA
Source: RNAcentral
AUACGUAGGGUGCGAGCGUUGUCCGGAAUUACUGGGCGUAAAGAGCUCGUAGGCGGUUUGUCGCGUCGUUCGUGAAAUCUUGAUGCUUAACAUCAAGCGUGCGGGCGAUACGGGCAGACUUGAGUACUACAGGGGAGACUGGAAUUCCUGGUGUAGCGGUGAAAUGCGCAGAUAUCAGGAGGAACACCGGUGGCGAAGGCGGGUCUCUGGGUAGUAACUGACGCUGAGGAGCGAAAGCGUGGGUAGCGAACAGGAUUAGAGACCCUGGUAGUCCACGCCGUAAACGGUGGGUACUAGGUGUGGGUCCCUUUUCACGGGAUCCGUGCCGUAGCUAACGCAUUAAGUACCCCGCCUGGGGAGUACGGCCGCAAGGCUAAA